Molecule: ribosomal RNA, 258 nt
Filed under: uncultured Cercozoa
Lineage: Eukaryota; Cercozoa
Description: partial small subunit ribosomal RNA
Rfam family: Eukaryotic small subunit ribosomal RNA
Source: RNAcentral
AGCUCCAAUAGCGUAUAUUAAAGUUGCUGCAGUUAAAAAGCUCGUAGUUGGAUUUCUGGCUUGACUCGCCUGGCCCGCCACGGUGACGUGUGUGAGUGCUGGGUCGAAUCGGCCAUCCUUCGUUUAUGGCUAGUUGUUCUUUAUUGAGCAGCUAGUUCGUGAACGAUCGUUUACUUUGAAAAAAUUAGAGUGUUUCAAGCAGGCUUUAGCUUUGAAUACAUGAGCAUGGAAUAAUAAAGUAGGACUUCGGUUCUAUUU